GACGAACGCUGGCGGCGUGCUUAACACAUGCAAGCCGAACGGAAAGGCCCUGCUUUUGUGGGGUGCUCGAGUGGCGAACGGGUGAGUAACACGUGAGUAACCUGCCCUUGACUUUGGGAUAACUUCAGGAAACUGGGGCUAAUACCGGAUAGGAGCUCCUGCUGCAUGGUGGGGGUUGGAAAGUUUCGGCGGUUGGGGAUGGACUCGCGGCUUAUCAGCUUGUUGGUGGGGUAGUGGCUUACCAAGGCUUUGACGGGUAGCCGGCCUGAGAGGGUGACCGGCCACAUUGGGACUGAGAUACGGCCCAGACUCCUACGGGAGGCAGCAGUGGGGAAUAUUGAACAAUGGGCGGAAGCCUGAUGCAGCAACGCCGCGUGCGGGAUGACGGCCUUCGGGUUGUAAACCGCUUUCGCCUGUGACGAAGCGUGAGUGACGGUAAUGGGUAAAGAAGCACCGGCUAACUACGCG
RNAcentral lists this ribosomal RNA (468 nucleotides) under uncultured bacterium. RNAcentral describes it as "partial 16S ribosomal RNA". It matches the Rfam family "Bacterial small subunit ribosomal RNA", at positions 28 to 507 of the family's 1533-position model. The record is from RNAcentral.